UGGGUUGAUUGUUCGCUGCCUCCUCAGUCAGUUGGGGUUGUCGGUCUGGGAGUGGUCGAGUCGGCGGUUUUCUUCGAAAUUUCUCGAGGUACCCUCGGCGUAUGAGGGCCUCGAUUUCAUCCUUAAGUUGGAUACACUGCUCGGUGUUAUGGCCAUGGUCCUGAUGAAAUCGACAGUACUUUCGUCGGUCGAGGCCCUUUGCCUUCAAAGGC
RNAcentral lists this long non-coding RNA (212 nucleotides) under Elaeis guineensis (African oil palm). Its description in RNAcentral is "long non-coding RNA (EGUI_LNC021384)". Lineage: Eukaryota; Viridiplantae; Streptophyta; Magnoliopsida; Arecales; Arecaceae. The record is from RNAcentral.